UGUGAGGCCGCCGGUGGACGGAUAUUGUUGAUGUCAGUAGUAGAGACGUAGUCUGCCUCAUAG
RNAcentral lists this transfer RNA (63 nucleotides) under Cylindrus obtusus. Its description in RNAcentral is "tRNA-Ile". Lineage: Eukaryota; Metazoa; Mollusca; Gastropoda; Stylommatophora; Helicidae. The record is from RNAcentral.